Molecule: long non-coding RNA, 244 nt
Filed under: Prunus persica (peach)
Lineage: Eukaryota; Viridiplantae; Streptophyta; Magnoliopsida; Rosales; Rosaceae
Description: long non-coding RNA (PPER_LNC001858)
Source: RNAcentral
CCAUCCCGAAAUAGGAACAAACAUAUAUUUAGUUAAAUACUGCAAUUGGGGUUUGAACAAGGGAUUAGAAGCAAGUGUAGAUACUGAUCGUUUGUUUGCUGUAGGAGCUGACGAAAGAGGUGGUAGAUUCAAAGUUAUGAGAUCUUUGAAUCAAUUAACAGUGGUGGGUUUGUUUACAUUUGUUCCAACCAAAAUUAACAUAGUUUAAUUUCUACAAUUAAUGGGCCAAUUUCGUGGUUAGUUA